Molecule: transfer RNA, 71 nt
Filed under: Trichonephila clavata
Lineage: Eukaryota; Metazoa; Arthropoda; Arachnida; Araneae; Nephilidae
Description: tRNA-Lys
Rfam family: tRNA (bases 8-65)
About the family: Transfer RNA (tRNA) molecules are approximately 80 nucleotides in length.
Source: RNAcentral
GCCCGCAUAGCUCAGUCGGUAGAGCGUUAGGCUUUUAACCUAACGGUCCAGGGUUCGAGCCCCUGACGGCU